AUGCCCAUAUGGGACUCCUAUAAAUAUUUGAGUGGCCGUGAGAAUCCUGCAAGUGUAGAUGAAUAAGGAUCUUCUCCUUUUGAUAUCUAUGACCCUAGAAACUGGGACACUCUUGACAAUAAAUCAAGAGAUAUUCUGAUUGAAAAAGGGCCUACAAGGGAACAAAAUCUUGUGUUUGAAACAGACUACAUUUAUCUUGACAUUUUAAUUUAA
RNAcentral lists this ribosomal RNA (213 nucleotides) under Triticum aestivum (bread wheat). Its description in RNAcentral is "partial small subunit ribosomal RNA". The record is from RNAcentral. Lineage: Eukaryota; Viridiplantae; Streptophyta; Magnoliopsida; Poales; Poaceae.